CAGCAGCCGCGGGAAUACGUAGGGUGCAAGCGUUGUCCGGAAUUAUUGGGCGUAAAGAGCUCGUAGGCGGUUUGUCGCGUCUGCUGUGAAAACCCGAGGCUCAACCUCGGGCCUGCAGUGGGUACGGGCAGACUAGAGUGCGGUAGGGGAGAUUGGAAUUCCUGGUGUAGCGGUGGAAUGCGCAGGUAUCAGGAGGAACACCGAUGGCGAAGGCAGAUCUCUGGGCCGUAACUGACGCUGAGGAGCGAAAGCAUGGGGAGCGAACAGGAUUAGAUACCCGAGUAGUCCCUGUCUCUUAUAC
Molecule: ribosomal RNA, 301 nt
Filed under: uncultured bacterium
Lineage: Bacteria
Description: partial 16S ribosomal RNA
Rfam family: Bacterial small subunit ribosomal RNA
Source: RNAcentral